AACGAACGCUGGCGGCGGGGCUUAGGCAUGCAAGUCGAGCGAGAAAGCCGCAAGGUGAGUACAGCGGCGUAAGGGUGAGUAAUAGGUAGUCAACGUACCCACGAGACGCGAAUAAUUUUCCGAAAGGGAUUGUAAUGCGCGAUGAGACCACGCUCUUUUCGGAGAGAGGGGUCAAAGGUCAGGGAUCCUUCGGGACCUGGCGCUCAUGGAGCGGACGACCUCCGAUUAGCUAGANGGCGGGGUAACGGCCCACCAUGGCUGUGAUCGGUAGCCGGCCUGAGAGGGUGUUCGGCCACACUGGGACUGAGACACUGCCCAGACUCCUACGGGAGGCUGCAGUCGCGAAUCAUUCACAAUGGGCGCAAGCCUGAUGAUGCCACGCCGCGUGCGGGAUGAAGGCCCUCUGGGUUGUAAACCGCUGUCAAGAGGGGGAAACGCUUGGUGUUAACAGCGCCAAGUUUGACUGCCCACUAAAGGAAG
RNAcentral lists this ribosomal RNA (480 nucleotides) under uncultured bacterium. RNAcentral's name for it is "bacterial SSU rRNA". It matches the Rfam family "Bacterial small subunit ribosomal RNA", at positions 29 to 490 of the family's 1533-position model. The record is from RNAcentral.